Molecule: ribosomal RNA, 503 nt
Filed under: uncultured bacterium
Lineage: Bacteria
Description: bacterial SSU rRNA
Rfam family: Bacterial small subunit ribosomal RNA
Source: RNAcentral
GGGAGGCAGCAGUGAGGAAUAUUGGUCAAUGGGCGCGAGCCUGAACCAGCCAAGUCGCGUGAGGGAUGACGGUCCUACGGAUUGUAAACCUCUUUUGCCGGGGAGCAAGCGUGCGUUCGUGAACGCGCGUCGAGAGUACCCGGAGAAAAAGCAUCGGCUAACUCCGUGCCAGCAGCCGCGGUAAUACGGAGGAUGCGAGCGUUAUCCGGAUUUAUUGGGUUUAAAGGGUGCGUAGGCGGGAUGCCAAGUCAGCGGUAAAAAUGCGGUGCUCAACGCCGUCGAGCCGUUGAAACUGGCGUUCUUGAGUGGGCGAGAAGUAUGCGGAAUGCGUGGUGUAGCGGUGAAAUGCAUAGAUAUCACGCAGAACUCCGAUUGCGAAGGCAGCAUACCGGCGCCCUACUGACGCUGAGGCACGAAAGCGUGGGUAUCGAACAGGAUUAGAUACCCUGGUAGUCCACGCAGUAAACGAUGAAUGCUAACUGUCCGGCUCGAAUGAGCGCUGG